Doryrhamphus excisus (bluestripe pipefish) is the source of this 3168-nucleotide non-coding RNA. The record is from RefSeq and is a predicted model, not a curated record. Lineage: Eukaryota; Metazoa; Chordata; Actinopteri; Syngnathiformes; Syngnathidae.
GUUUCACCGCACACACACACACACAUACUAUCCUCAUUAUUUGCUUGCAGGUCUGUGUAUUAUGUUUUCCAAAUCCACCACUUCCUGUUUCCUGUGGGAGCCGAUGAGCCGAUCAUUGUGUUGCAAAAGAAAGCCGAAUUUUAACAGUAUAUCACUUAAUUGUGUACAUAUAUUUAUACUAAAACAUAUUCUCACACAGAAAUGUGGAUUACCGAAGCCCCAAUUUCACCAUUGAAUUUGGUACACCUGCACAAUAUAAUAAGAUUCAUUCAUUCAUGCUGGAGAUGUAGCUACACUAAUAGUAAUAUGUGGUAUGCGAUGAUGUAAUAUUGAUAAAGUAAUAUUUAAUUUAUUGGCAGGGAUAAAAUAACACAAAAGGUGUUGCAAACACACAAUGAGCACAUGUUGGAACUUUGUAAGAAGAGUGGCAUCUAGUGGGCAAAAAAUAAACAGCACGUAAUGUGUGAGAAGAGUGACAUCUAGUGGGCAAAAAGAUAAAUUCAGCAAGUAAUAUAUGAGAAGAGUGGCAUCUAGUGGGCAAUAAGAUAUAUGCAGCACGUAAUACACGUGUCAGUUGUACACUUGGCGCUCCCCUGUUUGCUUAACCGAGUAUGCAUGUUGAGGAUACGGUUGACGUUUACUAUGGUGUCAGGACAGGAGCCGGAGCUGAAGAAGGCACAUUUAGACACAAGGCACGUCGUCCUUUCUCGACCGUCAAGUGACCGCAACACACAACAACAAUACUUUCGGCCGUCAAAAUAACAGCACAUCCUGUCGGGGUACAAAAUAGCUUACAUGAACAUUAUCGAUAAUGUGUUUUCGCCUUUGGAACAUUAAAUCAGAUGGGUGAUUUGCUAUGCAUUGUAUAAAAAAUGAUAAUGCAAUAUACAAUAUUAAAAACUCGCAAUAGACUGCUGCCCCUUUAAAUGAGUUUUCCAUUUACUUCCGCAUGUGGCGUUUGGCCCCGCCCUCGGGACACAACGCGGCUUUUAGUGUAUCUUGUGUCACAUGACUUGGACGUUAAUUUUGACUGAACAUGUUCGCGGCUGCGACCAAAGUUGUCUUCCUCCUGGGAGUCUUGUCCUCCUGCCGGGGGCGACGGGGCGACUUCAUCGAUGAAGGGGUCGAGGAAGUCGCCCAGCAGAGCUCCAAGUUUGGUUCCUUGUGGCCGCUACCGCAGAAUGUGCAAAUCUCAGAAGUUUCAUUCAAGUUGGCCAGGGACACUUUCCAAAUAUUUGAUGCCAAACUGUCGUCCGCAGGGCCCAGUUGUAGUCUCCUUCAGAAUGCUUACAGGAGGUACUAUGACUACAUCUUUGGCGGCCUUAAGAAGACCUGGCCCAGCAAACACGAGUGGUCUGACCCCGCCGGGCUGAUGGGACUGCAGGUUUUGAUCACAGACCCUGAGCCUGGAUGCGAGCAAUACCCCAGUGUGACAGCAGACGAGUCCUAUCAGCUGUUUGUGGAUCAGCCCAUUGCUGUCCUUAAGGCGCCCAAGGUUUGGGGAGCCCUUCAUGGCCUGGAAACGUUUAGCCAGUUGGUGUAUGAAGAUGAAUUUGGUGCAAAAAAUGUCAAUAUGACAUCCAUCAGCGACUUCCCCAGGUUUGCGCAUCGAGGCGUCUUGUUGGACAGCUCUCGGCACUUCCUUCCUGUCAAAGUCAUUUUGGCCAACCUGGAAACCAUGGCAAUGAACAAGUUCAACGUCUUCCACUGGCACAUCGUCGAUGAUCCAUCCUUCCCGUACCUGAGCCGAACUUUCCCACAGCUCAGCCAGAAGGGAGCGUACCACCCGUACACUCACGUGUACACACCAGCCGACGUGAAGAUGAUCAUCGAGUUUGCUCGUCUCCGAGGCAUCCGGGUCAUCCCAGAGUUUGACACGCCGGGUCACACACAGUCUUGGGGCAAAGGCCAGUCGGACCUACUGACGCCCUGCUUCGCCGGGUCCAAACCGUCCGGCAGCUUCGGCCCGGUCAACCCCAUCCUCAACACCACGUACGAUUUCAUGAGCCGGCUCUUCCAGGAGAUCAGCAUCGUCUUCCCCGAUGCCUAUGUUCACCUGGGAGGCGACGAGGUGGACUUCACCUGCUGGAAGUCCAACCCUGACGUCCAGAGGUUCAUGGAGCAGCAAGGUUUCGGUCAAGACUACGGGAAGCUGGAAUCCUUUUAUAUUCAAAGGCUUUUGGACAUCGUGGCCUCCACCAAGAAGGGCUACAUGAUCUGGCAGGAGGUCUUCGACAAUGGCGUUAAGCUGAAAGCAGACACACUCAUCCAUGUGUGGAAAGGGACCCAGCAGCAAUACCAGAAUGAGAUGGCAAAAGUCACGUCAUCGGGGUACCAGGCCCUACUCUCCACCCCCUGGUACCUGAACCGUAUCGCCUACGGCCAGGACUGGCAGGGCCAUUACAAGGCCGACCCCCAGGACUUCCAGGGAACCGAUGAACAGAAGAAGCUUGUGAUCGGUGGAGAAGCCUGCUUGUGGGGGGAGUAUGUGGACGCCACCAACCUCACGCCCAGACUCUGGCCCCGCGCCAGCGCUGUAGCCGAGCGUCUGUGGAGCGCCAAGACCGUGACAGACAUCAACGAUGCCUACAGCAGACUGUCCUCGCACCGUUGUCGCAUGGUCGAGCGCGGCAUCCCCGCUGAGCCGCUGUUUUCCAGCUACUGCCCUUACGAGUAUAAGGGAAUCUGAGGACUGGUGGCGUGAAGAGGCGGAAGAGGGAAAUGCUUGAAAAUGAAGAAAUCAAAUCAAACCAGCCGUGCGUUUUAGGAGUACGUUCUGGUCCUGUGUGCUCAUGGCCUCGUAGGUGUCCAGUUCCAAGGAGAAGGUGGCCUUCCCCGAGGUCAGCGUUCGCAGGAUGGUGGAAUAGCCCUUGAACAAGCGGUUUCAACAACACAUUAGAUAAAUACUCUUCACACUUUAACGCUUUGGAUCUUUCACUCACCCGAGUUUCUGCCAAAGGCACGCUGGCCAGCAGCACCUUGUUGUCAUGACGACUCUGGAUAUCCCUGACCGUCCCUCGUCUCUGGGCAAGAUCGCCCAACACGGUGCCGAGAUAUUCCUCCUCCACUGUCACCUCCAAGGACAUGACAGGCUCCAUCAGCUGUCCUCCAGCGAGCCUCAGAGCCUGCAUGGAAGGACGGAUGAAUCAAGCACACACGCUGGAGUUG